GAUGAACGCUGGCGGCGUGCCUAAUACAUGCAAGUCGAGCGAACGGACGAGUAGCUUGCUUCUCUGAUGUUAGCGGCGGACGGGUGAGUAACACGUGGAUAACCUACCUAUAAGACUGGGAUAACUUCGGGAAACCGUAGCUAAUACCGGAUAAUAUUUUGAACCGCAUGGUUCAAAAGUGAAAGACGGUCUUGCUGUCACUUAUAGAUGGAUCCGCGCUGCAUUAGCUAGUUGGUAAGGUAACGGCUUACCAAGGCAACGAUGCAUAGCCGACCUGAGAGGGUGAUAGGCCACACUGGAACUGAGACACGGUCCAGACUCCUACGGGAGGCAGCAGUAGGGAAUCUUCCGCAAUGGGCGAAAGCCUGACGGAGCAACGCCGCGUGAGUGAUGAAGGUCUUCGGAUCGUAAAACUCUGUUAUUAGGGAAGAACAAAUGUGUAAGUAACUGUGCACAUCUUGACGGUACCUAAUCAGAAAGACACGGCUAACUACGUG
RNAcentral lists this ribosomal RNA (497 nucleotides) under uncultured bacterium. Its description in RNAcentral is "partial 16S ribosomal RNA". It matches the Rfam family "Bacterial small subunit ribosomal RNA", at positions 28 to 507 of the family's 1533-position model. The record is from RNAcentral.